Long non-coding RNA from Alexandromys fortis (reed vole), 587 nucleotides. RefSeq lists it as uncharacterized. The transcript is spliced from 3 exons. NCBI's taxonomy places the organism in Eukaryota, Metazoa, Chordata, Mammalia, Rodentia, Cricetidae. The record is from RefSeq and is a predicted model, not a curated record.
UUGAGCUUCAGGACAACCAAGCUCAGUCAGGAAGGAAGCUUUGAAAACAGAAAGCUGGUGAGGAUGUAAUUGAGUGAGGGGCCGUGGUCCAGCCCCAGCAAGCAGCAGAACUUGGUGGCUUCAGCCUCGUGGUUCUGAGUUUAGAGUGAAGGACAGAAGAAAGGAGUCAUGGAAUCUCCCUCUGUGACUAAGGAAAGUCACUGAGACCAGUCGUGUGUCAGGGGUGUCCCUGCAUAGAGACCGAGAGAGGCCAUUGUGUGAAACUGUGAAGCUGAAGCCUGGAUUGUCUUGGAGACCCCAAGAUGUUGGAGAUGCCAGAGCCAUGGGAUACCUGCUGAGGAGAGCUGCGAACAGGGAGUGGAACCAGCUCAAGAGAGAGAAGUGUGUUGCAGUCAACAAAGCUGAACAGAGCUUGCUGAUCCAAGAUGAAGAAAGGGAAUGCAAUGGCGGUCACCUCCCGCAGGGUUCCAAAAGAAGCCACUUCCUGUCAAGCAAAACGGGGGACACUGAGGUGGCUCAGUGUGCAGAGGUGCUCGCUGCCAAGCCUGGUGACUGGAGUUUGAUCCUCAGAAGUUGUAGAGUGGAAG